Molecule: ribosomal RNA, 500 nt
Filed under: uncultured bacterium
Lineage: Bacteria
Description: partial 16S ribosomal RNA
Rfam family: Bacterial small subunit ribosomal RNA
Source: RNAcentral
ACUCAAAUGAAUUGACGGGGGCCCGCACAAGCAGCGGAGCAUGUGGUUUAAUUCGAAGCAACGCGUAGAACCUUACCAGGGCUUGACAUGUACUGAACCCGGCUGAAAGGUUGGGGUGCCCUUCGGGGAGCAGUAACACAGGUGGUGCAUGGUUGUCGUCAGCUCGUGUCGUGAGAUGUUGGGUUAAGUCCCGCAACGAGCGCAACCCCUAUUGUAUGUUGCCAGCAGGUAAAGCUGGGCACUCAUGCGAGACUGCCGGUGACAAACCGGAGGAAGGUGGGGAUGACGUCAAAUCAUCAUGCCCCUUAUGUCCUGGGCAACACACGUGCUACAAUGGGCGCCACAGAGUGAACCAAGGCCGCGAGGCGGAGGAAACCACCAAAGGCGCUCGUAGUUCAGAUCGCAGGCUGCAACUCGCCUGCGUGAAGCCGGAGUUGCUAGUAAUCGCGGAUCAGCACGCCGCGGUGAAUACGUUCCCGGGCCUUGCACACACCGCCCGU